This 92-nucleotide transfer RNA is filed under the name Sphagnurus paluster. Its description in RNAcentral is "Tephrocybe palustris tRNA". It matches the Rfam family "tRNA". Rfam says of the family: Transfer RNA (tRNA) molecules are approximately 80 nucleotides in length. Their secondary structure includes four short double-helical elements and three loops (D, anti-codon, and T loops). Lineage: Eukaryota; Fungi; Basidiomycota; Agaricomycetes; Agaricales; Lyophyllaceae. The record is from Rfam by way of RNAcentral.
GGCGACAUGGCCGAGCGGUCUAAGGCGCUAGAAUCAGGAUAGCAAUCCUCAUCUAGUCUUUCGGGGCGUGAGUUCGAAUCUCACUGUCGUCA